Molecule: long non-coding RNA, 493 nt
Organism: Cyprinodon variegatus (sheepshead minnow)
Lineage: Eukaryota; Metazoa; Chordata; Actinopteri; Cyprinodontiformes; Cyprinodontidae
Exons: 4
Source: RefSeq, a predicted model, not a curated record
AUCUAUAAGAACUACAAACAUUUUGGCAAGCCUUGAAGACUCACAGAGUAGCACAUCAUCAGAUGUGAUAGAUGCCCAGCACUGAGUAGAAGCUCCUGUACUUAAAGAGAAACUAGGAGAUUUGAGUUAUGGAUUGCAGGCUGAUUGUCCUGGUCUUUACAGGAACAGUGCUCCAUGCUGCGUUUGCCCAAACUCGUCAAUACUACUUUGUGAACAGAACUCUGAACUGGACAGAUGCUCAAAGUGUCUGCAGACGGGACUACACUGACCUGGCCACCAUAGAAAGUAUAGCAGACGUUGAAGCUGUUAAUCGGGCCACAUCAAACUACACUGGUUUCGGGUGGAUAGGUCUAUAUGAUGACUUGGUAAACUCCUGGAAAUGGUCCAUAGAUGACAGUAGCUUUUAUGGUGAUGGAGAGACUGACUUUAGAAACUGGAACUCAGGCCAGCCCAAUAAUCUUGAUGGACAACAGCACUGUGUACAACUAUUGAG